RNAcentral lists this long non-coding RNA (1346 nucleotides) under Anas platyrhynchos platyrhynchos (common mallard). RNAcentral describes it as "lncRNA (ENSAPLG00000018640.1)". The record is from RNAcentral. Lineage: Eukaryota; Metazoa; Chordata; Aves; Anseriformes; Anatidae.
UUUGUUUAGAUGUUGUGGCCUAGAAUAUUGUUUCUAAAUAUAGUUUAAAGAAGGCAAAAUAUCCCUUGGGAAUUCUGUCUAUAUGAAUUUCAGCACAGUAUCUGAUUGUGCUUUCUCAAAAUGCUAUAACAAAUCUAUGCACAGUGAGGGCACAAAUUGUUGUGGUCUGAGCUUUUUAGUCCAUCUUAAAUUUGCCAAGGGCUUGGGUGUGUAAAGGGACUUUUUUUGUUGAACUCCUAUUCAGCAAAAGACCUGAGUGCAUGUUAGGGUUAAUCCCUAUCAGUUUAUGGGGCAGAAAAAUCAGAACAGUAUUCUCGAAUACUUCAGAACAAGGAAUGGUCUUGUGAAAUGCAACAAGAAAAGAAAUAUCAGAAUGUUUCCACCUGUCCAAGUUUUUCAGGAGCCCAGCAGCAUCUCCUGGAGUUGCUCAUACAUAAGGCUGGUUUUGUGACACCAUGGAAGAGACUAGAGACAGUCAGAUGGUUUUAUAUCUACACUACACAACAGUAUAGUAUGCCCUACUGACAGAAAACAAACUGAAAAACUUCAUGCGAAAAGCAAAAAAAUAUAUGAGUUGCAAAGGCAAGUAAAAUUUCUCAGUGUCUAAACUCAUCACUAGGCUAACUUCCCACUAAGUUUGCUUAUCUAGUCUAUAAUAAAAAGGAAUACAAUAGCAUUCUCCAGGUUAAAUGUGAAGUUAAGUUGAAUAAAAGAACACAACGUUCCUAACUCCUGACAGGCAUGCUGGCAUUUCCCCAAAUGUCUCUUUAGAUACUGAGAACACCAGUAUUAUGGCUUCUUGUGCUUCAGAGAUGUCUAAACUCAAUAUGACAGAAAACACUUGUAGGUCUUCUCUUAGGAAGAAUUUCACUAGAAGGAUAGAAAGGUAGUCUUGUAUUCCCCGUAGCUGGCUUUGAAGAUGGAAGAAACACAGCUGUUACCGUUGCUGCAGUUAGCUCAAAGCUGUGGGGUCCUGGGCGUUGAUGACAUAUCCUAGACCAGAUUGUAGCAGCAACAAUCAAGAACUAGAGCAGUCCCCUUUGACUGUUUCAGCACACUUUGGAUCAGGGACACAGAGGAAAAAGUUAUUUUUAACAGCUAUUUCACUCAGGAGGAUUGACAAUGCAGUGGACACCUGCUGUGACCAAAGAAACCUUCAGUGAAAUGGGAGAUUGAAUUUAAUACAAAAAUGCAGCAUGGAUGAUCCAUCUCACAACAGUUCUUCAGGAGUACUGUUGAGUGGUCUCAGCAAUAGCUCGUAGAUUAUACACCAAAGAAGGGGAAGAACAAAGGAUGCUGUCUGUCCUAAAGAGAUAAUAAAAUAAAGAUGGACAGAAAAAGAAUCA